RNAcentral lists this transfer RNA (73 nucleotides) under Otolemur garnettii (small-eared galago). It matches the Rfam family "tRNA". Rfam says of the family: Transfer RNA (tRNA) molecules are approximately 80 nucleotides in length. Their secondary structure includes four short double-helical elements and three loops (D, anti-codon, and T loops). Lineage: Eukaryota; Metazoa; Chordata; Mammalia; Primates; Galagidae. The record is from Rfam by way of RNAcentral.
GCACCUGUAGCUCAGUGGCUAGAGCACCAGCCACGUACACUGGAGCUAGAUGGUUCAAAUCCAGCCUGGGCCU